Molecule: ribosomal RNA, 253 nt
Filed under: uncultured bacterium
Lineage: Bacteria
Description: partial 16S ribosomal RNA
Rfam family: Bacterial small subunit ribosomal RNA
Source: RNAcentral
UACGGGGGGAGCAAGCGUUGUUCGGAUUUACUGGGCGUAAAGGGCGCGUAGGCGGCGCAACAAGUCACUUGUGAAAUCUCUGGGCUCAACCCAGAACGGUCAAGUGAUACUGUCGUGCUAGAGUGCGGAAGGGGCAACUGGAAUUCUUGGUGUAGCGGUGAAAUGCGUAGAUAUCAAGAGGAACACCUGCGGCGAAGGCGGGUUGCUGGGCCGACACUGACGCUGAGGCGCGAAAGCUAGGGGAGCGAACGGG